ACUUUUAAAGGAUAAAAGUAAUCCAUUGGUCUUAGGAACCAAAAAUCUCGGUGCAACUCCAAGUAAAAGUA
Molecule: transfer RNA, 71 nt
Filed under: Urosaurus nigricauda
Lineage: Eukaryota; Metazoa; Chordata; Lepidosauria; Squamata; Phrynosomatidae
Description: tRNA-Leu
Rfam family: tRNA
About the family: Transfer RNA (tRNA) molecules are approximately 80 nucleotides in length.
Source: RNAcentral